GAUGAGCCUGCGGCGGAUUAGCUAGUUGGCAGGGUAACGGCCUACCAAGGCGACGAUCCGUAGCCGGCCUGAGAGGGCGGACGGCCACACUGGCACUGACAUACGGGCCAGACUCCUACGGGAGGCAGCAGCCGGGAAUUUUGGGCAAUGGGCGAAAGCCUGACCCAGCAACGCCGCGUGAAGGAUGAAAUCCCUCGGGAUGUAAACUUCGCAAGAAUGGGAAGAAUAAGUAGAAGAUAACACCUUCUAUGAUGACGGUACCAUUUGUAAGCUCCGGCUAACUCCGUGCCAGCAGCCGCGGUAAUACGGGGGGAGCAAGCGUUGUUCGGAUUUACUGGGCGUAAAGGGCGCGUAGGCGGCCACGACAAGUCAGUUGUGAAAUCUCUGGGCUUAACUCAGAACGGUCAACUGAUACUGUCGGGCUAGAGUGCAGAAGGGGCAACUGGAAUUCUCGGUGUAGCGGUGAAAUGCGUAGAUAUCGAGAGGAACACCUGCGGCGAAGGCGGGUUGCUGGGCUGACACUGACGCUGAGGCGCGAAAGCUAGGGGAGCGAACGGGAUUAGAUACCCCGGUAGUCCUAGCCUUAAACGAUGAAUGCUUGGUGU
Molecule: ribosomal RNA, 605 nt
Filed under: uncultured soil bacterium
Lineage: Bacteria
Description: bacterial SSU rRNA
Rfam family: Bacterial small subunit ribosomal RNA
Source: RNAcentral